CCUACGGGAGGCAGCAGUGAGGAAUAUUGGUCAAUGGGCGCGAGCCUGAACCAGCCAAGUAGCGUGAAGGAUGACUGCCCUACGGGUGGUAAACUCCUUUUAUAAAGGAAUAAAGUGCGGCACGUGUGCCUUUUUGUAUGUACUUUAUGAAUAAGGAUCGGCUAACUCCGCGCCAGCAGCCGCGGUAAUACGGAGGGUCCGAGCGUUACCCGGAUUUAUUGGGUUUAAAGGGAGCGUAGAUGGGUUGUUAAGUCAGUUGUGAAAGUUUGCGGCUCAACCGUAAAAUUGCAAUUGAUACUGGAAGUGUUGAGUACAGGUGAGGUAGGCGGAAUUCGUGGUGUAGCGGUGAAAUGCUUAGAUAUCACGAAGAACUCGGAUUGCGAAGGCAGCUUACUAAACUGCCACUGACAUUGAUGCUCGAAAGUGUGGGUAUCAAACAGGAUUAGAUACCCCGGUAGUG
Molecule: ribosomal RNA, 460 nt
Filed under: uncultured bacterium
Lineage: Bacteria
Description: partial 16S ribosomal RNA
Rfam family: Bacterial small subunit ribosomal RNA
Source: RNAcentral